GGGUUGUGAGGUUAAGCGACUAAGCGUACACGGUGGAUGCCCUGGCAGUCAGAGGCGAUGAAGGGCGUGCUAAUCUGCGAUAAGCGCCGGUAAGGUGAUAUGAACCGUUAUAACCGGCGAUACCCGAAUGGGGAAACCCAGUGUGACUCGUCACACUAUCAUUAACUGAAUCCAUAGGUUAAUGAGGCGAACCGGGGGAACUGAAACAUCUAAGUACCCCGAGGAAAAGAAAUCAACCGAGAUUCCCCCAGUAGCGGCGAGCGAACGGGGAGGAGCCCAGAGCCUGAAUCAGCAUGUGUGUUAGUGGAAGCGUCUGGAAAGGCGCGCGAUACAGGGUGACAGCCCCGUACACAAAAGCGCAUGUGCUGUGAGCUCGAUGAGUAGGGCGGGACACGUGGUAUCCUGUCUGAAUAUGGGGGGACCAUCCUCCAAGGCUAAAUACUCCUGACUGACCGAUAGUGAACCAGUACCGUGAGGGAAAGGCGAAAAGAACCCCGGCGAGGGGAGUGAAAAAGAACCUGAAACCGUGUACGUACAAGCAGUGGGAGCCCCACCACUAAGCCAGUGGUGAACUCCACAUACGCAUCCUUUGCUGAGGAUACGGUUAACGGAGCGAAAGCGACGUUCAACCGCAAAACAAGCAGAGGGGGCUUAGUGGUGGGGUGACUGCGUACCUUUUGUAUAAUGGGUCAGCGACUUAUAUUCUGUAGCAAGGUUAACCGUAUAGGGGAGCCGGAGGGAAACCGAGUCUUAACUGGGCGUUAAGUUGCAGGGUAUAGACCCGAAACCCGGUGAUCUAGCCAUGGGCAGGUUGAAGGUUGGGUAACACUAACUGGAGGACCGAACCGACUAAUGUUGAAAAAUUAGCGGAUGACCUGUGGCUGGGGGUGAAAGGCCAAUCAAACCGGGAGAUAGCUGGUUCUCCCCGAAAGCUAUUUAGGUAGCGCCUCGUGAAUUCAUCUCCGGGGGUAGAGCACUGUUUCGGCUAGGGGGCCAUCCCGGCUUACCAACCCGAUGCAAACUGCGAAUACCGGAGAAUGUUAUCACGGGAGACACACGGCGGGUGCUAACGUCCGUCGUGAAGAGGGAAACAACCCAGACCGCCAGCUAAGGUCCCAAAGUCAUGGUUAAGUGGGAAACGAUGUGGGAAGGCCCAGACAGCCAGGAUGUUGGCUUAGAAGCAGCCAUCAUUUAAAGAAAGCGUAAUAGCUCACUGGUCGAGUCGGCCUGCGCGGAAGAUGUAACGGGGCUAAACCAUGCACCGAAGCUGCGGCAGCGACACUGUGUGUUGUUGGGUAGGGGAGCGUUCUGUAAGCCUGCGAAGGUGGCCUGUGAGGGGUGCUGGAGGUAUCAGAAGUGCGAAUGCUGACAUAAGUAACGAUAAAGCGGGUGAAAAGCCCGCUCGCCGGAAGACCAAGGGUUCCUGUCCAACGUUAAUCGGGGCAGGGUGAGUCGACCCCUAAGGCGAGGCCGAAAGGCGUAGUCGAUGGGAAACGGGUUAAUAUUCCCGUACUCGGUGUUACUGCGAAGGGGGGACGGAGAAGGCUAUGUUGGCCGGGCGACGGUUGUCCCGGUUUAAGCGUGUAGGUGUGUGUUCCAGGUAAAUCCGGUUCACUUUAACACUGAGGCGUGACGACGAGGCACUACGGUGCUGAAGCAACAAAUGCCCUGCUUCCAGGAAAAGCCUCUAAGCAUCAGGUAACAUCAAAUCGUACCCCAAACCGACACAGGUGGUCAGGUAGAGAAUACCAAGGCGCUUGAGAGAACUCGGGUGAAGGAACUAGGCAAAAUGGUGCCGUAACUUCGGGAGAAGGCACGCUGACACGUAGGUGAAGUGAUUUACUCAUGGAGCUGAAGUCAGUCGAAGAUACCAGCUGGCUGCAACUGUUUAUUAAAAACACAGCACUGUGCAAACACGAAAGUGGACGUAUACGGUGUGACGCCUGCCCGGUGCCGGAAGGUUAAUUGAUGGGGUCAGCGCAAGCGAAGCUCCUGAUCGAAGCCCCGGUAAACGGCGGCCGUAACUAUAACGGUCCUAAGGUAGCGAAAUUCCUUGUCGGGUAAGUUCCGACCUGCACGAAUGGCGUAAUGAUGGCCAGGCUGUCUCCACCCGAGACUCAGUGAAAUUGAACUCGCUGUGAAGAUGCAGUGUACCCGCGGCAAGACGGAAAGACCCCGUGAACCUUUACUAUAGCUUGACACUGAACAUUGAGCCUUGAUGUGUAGGAUAGGUGGGAGGCUUUGAAGUGUGGACGCCAGUCUGCAUGGAGCCGACCUUGAAAUACCACCCUUUAAUGUUUGAUGUUCUAACGUGGACCCGUGAUCCGGGUUGCGGACAGUGUCUGGUGGGUAGUUUGACUGGGGCGGUCUCCUCCUAAAGAGUAACGGAGGAGCACGAAGGUUGGCUAAUCCUGGUCGGACAUCAGGAGGUUAGUGCAAUGGCAUAAGCCAGCUUGACUGCGAGCGUGACGGCGCGAGCAGGUGCGAAAGCAGGUCAUAGUGAUCCGGUGGUUCUGAAUGGAAGGGCCAUCGCUCAACGGAUAAAAGGUACUCCGGGGAUAACAGGCUGAUACCGCCCAAGAGUUCAUAUCGACGGCGGUGUUUGGCACCUCGAUGUCGGCUCAUCACAUCCUGGGGCUGAAGUAGGUCCCAAGGGUAUGGCUGUUCGCCAUUUAAAGUGGUACGCGAGCUGGGUUUAGAACGUCGUGAGACAGUUCGGUCCCUAUCUGCCGUGGGCGCUGGAGAACUGAGGGGGGCUGCUCCUAGUACGAGAGGACCGGAGUGGACGCAUCACUGGUGUUCGGGUUGUCAUGCCAAUGGCACUGCCCGGUAGCUAAAUGCGGAAGAGAUAAGUGCUGAAAGCAUCUAAGCACGAAACUUGCCCCGAGAUGAGUUCUCCCUGAGACUUUAGGUCUCCUGAAGGAACGUUGAAGACGACGACGUUGAUAGGCCGGGUGUGUAAGCGCAGCGAUGCGUUGAGCUAACCGGUACUAAUGAACCGUGAGGCUUAACCUUACAACGCCGAAG
Molecule: ribosomal RNA, 3027 nt
Filed under: Salmonella sp. SSDFZ69
Lineage: Bacteria; Pseudomonadati; Pseudomonadota; Gammaproteobacteria; Enterobacterales; Enterobacteriaceae
Description: 23S ribosomal RNA
Rfam family: Bacterial large subunit ribosomal RNA
Source: RNAcentral